GUGGAUUAGAUACCCGGGUAGUCCACGCCCUAAACGAUGCGAACUGGAUGUUGGGUUCAAUUUGGAACCCAGUAUCGAAGCUAACGCGUUAAGUUCGCCGCCUGGGGAGUACGGUCGCAAGACUGAAACUCAAAGGAAUUGACGGGGGCCCGCACAAGCGGUGGAGUAUGUGGUUUAAUUCGAUGCAACGCGAAGAACCUUACCUGGUCUUGACAUGUCGAGAACUUUCCAGAGAUGGAUUGGUGCCUUCGGGAACUCGAACACAGGUGCUGCUUGGCCGUCGUCAGCU
RNAcentral lists this ribosomal RNA (289 nucleotides) under uncultured bacterium. RNAcentral describes it as "partial 16S ribosomal RNA". It matches the Rfam family "Bacterial small subunit ribosomal RNA", at positions 773 to 1060 of the family's 1533-position model. The record is from RNAcentral.